This is an RNA transcript of Mirounga angustirostris (Northern elephant seal), 1290 nucleotides long. It is a transcript of the gene named glutaredoxin 3, with no coding region annotated. The record is from RefSeq and is a predicted model, not a curated record. NCBI's taxonomy places the organism in Eukaryota, Metazoa, Chordata, Mammalia, Carnivora, Phocidae. The transcript has 11 exons.
CAGCGGCCCGAGGCCCCGCCCCCGCCGGCCGCCCCGCUCGAUUGCUCCUGUCUGGCGGCGGCAGCAUGGCGGCGGGGGCGGCCGAGGCGGCGGCGGCGGCGGUGGUGGAGGUCGGCUCGGCCCAGCAGUUUGAGGAGCUGCUGCGCCUCAGAGCCAAGUCCCUCCUUGUGGUCCAUUUUUGGGCGCCGUGGGCUCCACAAUGUGCUCAGAUGAACGAUGUGAUGGCAGAAUUAGCCAAAGAACAGCCUCAAGUUUCGUUUGUGAAGUUGGAAGCUGAAGCCGUUCCUGAAGUAUCUGAAAAAUAUGAAAUUAGUUCUGUUCCCACCUUUCUGUUUUUCAAGAAUUCUCAGAAAAUUGACCGAUUAGAUGGUGCACAUGCCCCAGAGUUGACCAAAAAAGUUCAGCGCCAUGCAUCUAGCGGCUCCUUCCCACCCAGUGGUAACGAGCAUCCUAAAGAAGAUCUCAACCUUCGCCUGAAGAAAUUAACUCAUGCCGCCCCUUGCAUGUUGUUUAUGAAAGGAACUCCUCAGGAGCCGCGCUGCGGUUUCAGCAAGCAGAUGGUGGAAAUCCUUAACAAACAUAAUAUUCAGUUUAGCAGUUUUGAUAUCUUCUCAGAUGAAGAAGUUCGUCAGGGCCUCAAAACCUAUUCCAACUGGCCCACCUAUCCCCAGCUCUAUGUUUCUGGAGAGCUCAUAGGAGGACUUGAUAUAAUUAAGGAGCUUGAAGCGUCUGAUGAACUAGAUACAAUUUGCCCUAAAGCUCCCAAAUUAGAGGAAAGGCUCAAAGUACUGACAAAUAAAGCUUCUGUGAUGCUCUUUAUGAAAGGAAACAAACAGGAAGCAAAAUGUGGAUUCAGCAAACAAAUUCUGGAAAUACUAAAUAAUACUGGUGUUGAAUACGAGACAUUUGAUAUAUUGGAGGAUGAAGAAAGUUCCUGUUGUUUCUGUAGGUUCGGCAGGGGUUAAAAACUUAUUCAAAUUGGCCCACGUACCCUCAGCUGUAUGUGAAAGGGGAGCUCAUUGGAGGACUGGAUAUUGUUAAGGAACUGAGAGACAACGGUGAGCUGCUGCCAGUGCUGAAAGGAGAGAACUAGGGACUGUUACACUCGGUGCCUGACUGCUGCAGGAAACCUUCGUCACAGCGGGGCGGCUCACGACUCCUUUCUCAGACUGCUGCGCACCCAGUUAGGCUCGGUGUAUCCCACCAGCUCGUGCUAAAUAAAUACAUGUAUGUUUUGUUUGUUUUUCAUCAAACCAGUAUGCAAUAAACAUCUUCAAAUCCGAUUAAAAA